Molecule: ribosomal RNA, 253 nt
Filed under: uncultured prokaryote
Description: partial 16S ribosomal RNA
Rfam family: Bacterial small subunit ribosomal RNA
Source: RNAcentral
UACGGGGGGGGCAAGCGUUGUUCGGAAUUACUGGGCGUAAAGGGCUCGUAGGCGGCCAACUAAGUCAGACGUGAAAUCCCUCGGCUUAACCGGGGAACUGCGUCUGAUACUGGAUGGCUUGAGUUUGGGAGAGGGAUGCGGAAUUUCCGGUGUAGCGGUGAAAUGCGUAGAUAUCGGAAGGAACACCAGUGGCGAAAGCGACUUCCUGGUCCAAUACUGACGUUCAUGUGCGAAAGCGUGGGGAGCAAACAGG